Long non-coding RNA from Mya arenaria, 2133 nucleotides. RefSeq lists it as uncharacterized. The record is from RefSeq and is a predicted model, not a curated record. NCBI's taxonomy places the organism in Eukaryota, Metazoa, Mollusca, Bivalvia, Myida, Myidae. The transcript is spliced from 3 exons.
CUCAGUCCUGGAUUAUAACAGCAGUUGUUGCAUAUUCAGAUUUAUUGGGUUGAAUUCACAAUAAUUAUAUUACUAUUUUGCAAACAUUUAAAAUUUUAAAGCUACAUUCUCACAGAUUGAACGUUUUGACAACUUUCUCCUUUUUAGCUUGACUAUUCGAAGAAUAGGUGGGCUAUACUACUCGCCCCGGCGUCGGCGUCCGGUUAUAGUUUUAGGGCAAGUUAGGAUUUUCACUUAUAAGUCCAAUACCCUACAUUCAAUUGACUUAAUACUUAAUGCAGUUGUUCAGGGCCAUCACAUGAUGAGGUUAGAUAACUCCAUAUCAUUCUUUACACUAAUUAUGGCCGCUGAUUGACUAUGGAACAUCGGUUGAAGUUUUAGGGCAAGUUGGAAUAUUUAUUAAUAACUUCUAUAUCCUUUGUUCAAUUGACUUAAUACUUCACACAGUUGUUCAGGACCAUCACACAAUGAGGUUACAUAACUCCAUAUUAUCCUUAAUACAAGUUAUGGCCCCUGAUUGACUUGGGUUAAAGUUUUAGGGCAGGUUAAAGUUUUAGGGCAAGUUGGGAUUUUCACUUAAAACUCCAAUACCAUUCAUUCAAUUGUCUUCAUACUUCACACAGAUGUUCAGAGCCAUCACAUAAUGAGGUUAGAUAACUCCAUAUUAUCUUUUAUACAAAUUAUGGCCCCUGAUUGACUAUGGAACUUAGGUUAAAGUUUUAGGACAGGUUGGGAUAUUGUUUAAUACGGGCUCUAAACCGAGCGAAGCUCGGCAGAGCCCUAUUACGGUCACACAUAGCACUACUUUUGUUCAAAAGUUGCACAUACUAUCAGCCUGAAAAAAAGACGUAAAGGUGAUGGAACCAGUAUUUUUCUGUUCAUAAACUAUAUUGAGCCCGUGCAUGCGGGACACCAAAAUCAUCAGAGCGUGACGACACGGAAGAAAACAGGCUGAUGAAAUUUUAAACUAUGAGAUGCGAAAUAGCGCCCCAAUAGCUAUUAAAAUAAUUCAAAAUAUGCUUAUAAACAAUUACUAUGAAUACUUUUGGUAAACUCACAAAGACAAAUAAAACAUAUUUCUGUAGAUUGUCUGAGAUAUAUACUUUGUUUUCACUUGUUUAUUAAAGAUAUUCAUACGCAUUGUUUACCAUUCUAUACGAAGGUCACACUUGACGUUAUUAGUUGUCAUUUUAGGAUUUACAAUAUCCAUACUAUUAAGAUGUUUGACAGUUGUUUAUCGGAUAGAAAUUGCGAAGAAUUAAUUCCUGUUGGAUUACCGAUUUAAUUACGACCAUGGAUUAUACCGGUACACAUAGCAGAGCUUGUCACGUCAGCCAGGUAUGAUUACUUCGUAUUUAUAAAACACUUUUCAGUAAAUCAUACAAUAAAGAUAUCAAUUUCAUAAACUUAUGGCAUGCGGUUGACCAGUUCAGAAAUCGCUAUGGAUGAGCGAAAUAUUGUCACUGAAAAGAUGGAUGAGGUGUACCGUCUGUGAGCCUCAACAAUGGACGAGUGAGAUAUUUUGAGAUCAAAGGAUGGAAACACCAACACACUGGUUGAGAGAUUGAAUCUAAAAAGAUAUACAGGAAUUGUGUGACAGGUGAACUCUUGUGCCAUGCAACACCACUUUUGUGUAAAUUAAGAAGUUGGGCGGGGAGGGUGAGGGAGGGGUAUCCCCUCCUGCCAAGUGAAACCAUGGCGGAGCGCAAGAUUAUGACUGAAAAGAUCAAUGGCGGUUGCUGUCCGACACCAUGUGAAUGAUAAAGAUUGUAUGUAAUAUUAAAAUAUUUAAUGUGUAAAAAUAUACGACCAAAAGUGGAUUAUUUGUUUAUUAUAUGUAUCAUAGAGUACACAAACACAUUUUUUAUAAUUCUCAGACCAAGAGAUCACCCAAGGGACCGAAUCACCCCAAUCAGAUAGCUCGACUAGCCACAAUUGCAGUCCAAAUACCAGAAUGCAUCCAUGCCACCUGGUUUUUGACAUUAUUGCUGUGGACAGAUUUUCAGCAAUGCAGCCAGCCUGGUUGCUGAAGCCACAGAGGUAUUUUCAAGGACAAGAACCAAUGCUGAUCAAAACAUGGUCUAGUGAUGGAAUUCCAUAACCGUUCUUGGCAAGGAUUUUUUAGAAAGGAAU